This 253-nucleotide ribosomal RNA is filed under the name uncultured bacterium. RNAcentral's name for it is "partial 16S ribosomal RNA". It matches the Rfam family "Bacterial small subunit ribosomal RNA", at positions 524 to 776 of the family's 1533-position model. The record is from RNAcentral.
UACAGAGGUCUCAAGCGUUGUUCGGAAUUACUGGGCGUAAAGCGUGCGCAGGCGGCUUCUCAAGUCAGUGGUGAAAGCCCGGAGCUCAACUCCGGAAUUGCCAUUGAAACUGUGGAGCUUGAGGACGAGAGAGGUGAGUGGAAUUCCCAGUGUAGAGGUGAAAUUCGUAGAUAUUGGGAAGAACACCGGUGGCGAAGGCGGCUCACUGGCUCGUUUCUGACGCUCAGGCACGAUAGCGUGGGGAUCAAACAGG